This 503-nucleotide ribosomal RNA is filed under the name uncultured bacterium. RNAcentral describes it as "partial 16S ribosomal RNA". It matches the Rfam family "Bacterial small subunit ribosomal RNA", at positions 30 to 523 of the family's 1533-position model. The record is from RNAcentral.
AUUGAACGCUGGCGGCAGGCUCAACACAUGCAAGUCGAGCGGGGUGAUGGUGCUUGCACUAUCACUUAGCGGCGGACGGGUGAGUAAUGCUUAGGAAUCUGCCUAUUAGUGGGGGACAACAUCUCGAAAGGGAUGCUAAUACCGCAUACGUCCUACGGGAGAAAGCAGGGGAUCACUUGUGACCUUGCGCUAAUAGAUGAGCCUAAGUCGGAUUAGCUAGUUGGUGGGGUAAAGGCCUACCAAGGAGACGAUCUGUAGCGGGUCUGAGAGGAUGAUCCGCCACACUGGGACUGGAACACGGCCCAGACUCCUACGGGAGGCAGCAGUGGGGAAUAUUGGACAAUGGGGGGAACCCUGAUCCAGCCAUGCCGCGUGUGUGAAGAAGGCCUUAUGGUUGUAAAGCACUUUAAGCGAGGAGGAGGCUCUUUUGGUUAAUACCCAAGAUGAGUGGACGUUACUCGCAGAAUAAGCACCGGCUAACUCUGUGCCAGCAGCCGCCGUAA